GCAGACUUCCAGUUCUUCCACAUACCUGUCAGCACUUGGGCAAGGCUGGAGGUGAAAAGGGCAGCAGUUAUAGGAGAAACAGCGAAGAUUCCUAAUGCUGCCUCUAAAGAAUAUUGAGGAUUGUCAUAGACUGGCUGCACAGACAGACAAUGACAAAAAAAAGAGAAAGAGUUCUAAAGACACCAGCAUCUUCAUACCACCCUUUUCACACACACAUGGGUGCAUUUUUUUAUCCUCAAGAGUAAAAUGAUACAUUAGAACACCUUCUUCCAUUACUUUUACUCUUUCUGGAGGACAUAUGGCAGGGUUCUAUGAGGAUUUCUACAGACCUGUCAACCCAACGGUCCAACACUCAACAUAAUUGUUACAAUUCCUACAGAUGCCCACGCUCCUGGUCUGCCACACCAAUGUUUCCCAAAGUCUUCUCCAAGGAACACCAGUCCUGAGAGAUGUUCAGAGCCACCCCUGAAAACCUUCAUGGUAAAAAAAUUUGGAGAAAAAAUCUGCAAAACUCCUUGUAGAUUGUCCAUGUACAUCAGCAAAUUAAAGGCUCUGAGAAGUCCCACAACAAAUAAAUCUUUUUAUUAACAAUU
Molecule: long non-coding RNA, 593 nt
Organism: Eptesicus fuscus (big brown bat)
Lineage: Eukaryota; Metazoa; Chordata; Mammalia; Chiroptera; Vespertilionidae
Exons: 2
Source: RefSeq, a predicted model, not a curated record